Molecule: ribosomal RNA, 419 nt
Filed under: uncultured bacterium
Lineage: Bacteria
Description: bacterial SSU rRNA
Rfam family: Bacterial small subunit ribosomal RNA
Source: RNAcentral
AGCGGCGGACGGGUGCGUAACGCGUGGAUAACCUGCCCAAAAGACCGGGACAACGCCGGGAAACUGGCGCUAAUACCGGAUACGCUCCCUCCCCCGCCUGGGGGAGGGAGGAAAGGGGCAACCCGCUUUUGGAUGGGUCCGCGUCCCAUUAGCUUGUUGGCGGGGUAACGGCCCACCAAGGCGACGAUGGGUAGCCGGCCUGAGAGGGCGGCCGGCCACACUGGGACUGAGACACGGCCCAGACUCCUACGGGAGGCAGCAGUGGGGAAUCUUCCGCAAUGGGCGAAAAGCCUGACGGAGCAACGCCGCGUGAGCGAAGAAGGCCUUCGGGUUGUAAAGCUCUGUCUGGGGGGAAGAAGACCUGACGGUACCCCCGGAGGAAGCCCCGGCUAACUACGUGCCAGCAGCCGCGGUAAAAC